GGGGGCGUGGCUGUCUGCGCGCCUGCGCGCCGCAGGCCGACGGAGUCUAUCCUGCCCCGGCCGAACUGGGGUUAGGUCCGUGGUGGGAGCCGCUCCUCAGGCUCCGCCGCCAGCCGGGGCUCGGGCUGGGGCCCGGGCCCCCGGAGAUGGCCCUCCGGCCCUCAAAGGGCGACGGCUCCGCCGGCCGCUGGGACCGCGGCGCAGGGAAGGCAGACUUUAAUGCCAAAAGGAAAAAGAAGGUGGCAGAGAUACACCAGGCUCUGAACAGUGAUCCCAUCGACUUGGCUGCCCUCCGACGAAUGGCUAUCAGUGAGGGAGGGCUCCUGACUGAUGAGAUCAGGUGCCAAGUAUGGCCUAAGCUCCUCAACGUGAACACCAGUGAGCCACCGCCUGUGUCAAGGAAGGACCUUCGAGACAUGAGCAAGGACUACCAGCAAGUGCUGCUGGACGUCAGGCGAUCUCUUCGGCGCUUCCCCCCUGGCAUGCCGGACGAGCAGAGAGAAGGGCUCCAGGAAGAGCUAAUCGAUAUCAUCCUCCUCGUCCUGGAUCGCAACCCUCAGCUCCACUACUACCAGGGCUACCAUGACAUCGUGGUCACAUUUCUGCUGGUGGUGGGGGAGAGGCUGGCAACAUCCCUGGUAGAAAAAUUGUCUACCCACCACCUCAGGGAUUUCAUGGAUCCCACAAUGGACAACACCAAGCACAUCCUAAAUUAUCUGAUGCCCAUCAUUGACCAAGUGAGCCCAGAGCUCCACGACUUCAUGCAGAGUGCUGAGGUGGGGACCAUCUUUGCCCUCAGCUGGCUUAUCACCUGGUUUGGGCACGUCCUGAUGGACUUCAGGCACGUUGUGAGGUUAUACGACUUCUUCCUGGCCUGCCACCCACUUAUGCCCAUUUACUUUGCAGCUGUGGUAGAUCGUGCUGUACCGGGAGCAGGAAGUCCUGGACUGUGACUGUGACAUGGCCUCUGUCCACCACCUGUUGUCCCAGAUCCCUCAGGACCUGCCCUAUGAGACGCUCAUCAGCAGAGCAGGAGACCUCUUUGUUCAGUUUCCCCCUUCUGAACUUGCAAGGGAGGCAGCUGCUCAGCAGGAGGCUGAGAGAACGGCAGCCUCUACUUUCAAAGACUUUGAGCUGGCAUCAACUCAGCAGAGGCCAGACAUGGUGCUGCGGCAGCGGUUUCGGGGACUUCUGAGGCCUGAGGCUCGAACAAAAGAUGUCCUGACCAAACCAAGGACCAACCGCUUUGUGAAACUGGCAGUGAUGGGGCUGACGGUGGCCCUCGGAGCAGCAGCACUAGCAGUGGUGAAGAGCGCCCUGGAGUGGGCCCCUAAGUUCCAGCUGCAGCUGUUCCCCUAAACUCAGCUCAAGCAGCUACUCCCUCACCCAGGGCACCAAGCUCUCCCCAUUUCCAGAAGGAGGGUAAAGUUGCUGUGAUUAAAGGGUUUCUGUCAGGGGUGUUCUGUCUGCCACCCUUGGCAGCUUGUUUUUUGGCUUUGAUGGCUGGUGGCAGAGCUGCCUGACACUGGCUUGCCGGACCCGAGUGCUCUCUGCACCUCUCCUGUUGAAAAGUGGCUCUGGAGCACCUGGUUACCCAAGUCACUGCCUAAAAAGUUGGGCCCAGAGAUGCCCUCCUUAUAGCACCAUGUGUCUUGAGUAUCUUUAGACAAAGCAGGCAGGAUGGUCCAGCCUUGGGAUGAAAGUGAGGGGAGAAAACAUUAGCCUGGGAGCCAGCUGGACCCUCUUAAAAGCGGCCAUAUUAGCUGGUCAGAAUCAGAGAUAGACUCAAGCUGGGUUCUAAUUAAAUUUUUAUGAUCCCAGCCUAGAGCUCAUGUGCAGAGGAAUGUUAAUCACCAGGAUGAUGUUGCCCGUGUCUCCCUGUUCUUUCUCCUCUACAAGCCACAUGACAAAACCUACAAAGACAUUUUUAAUACUGUUUUUAUGAUUGUAUACUACACCUAACAUAGCAAGUAGUCUUCACUUUAAAAAAAAAAAUUACUUAUGUGUGUGUACAGGUGCCCACAGAGGCCAUAGGUGGGCUUCAGGUUUCCUGGAGCCUGUGUGGGUGCUGGGAUCUGAAUGCCAGGCCUCUGGUGAAGCAGCAGUAAGUGCUCUUAACUGCUGAGCCAUUUCUCCAGCCUCUUUCAUAGUUCCUUCAUGAGAGAAGCUGUCAGAGCAUUGAGUUUCUACUGGGCUAAGUUAUCCCUUUUUUGGAGGGGAAUAGAACCCAGGGCCUUGCACAUGGAAGCAAAAGUGUUCUACCACUGCGCUGCCCCAGCUUUGGUUUUUUUCGUUUUUGUCUUUUUCCAUUUUUAGUUUUGAGAUAGGGUCUACCUAAAUUAUCCAGGCUGGCCUUGAACUUUUGAUCCUCCUGCCAUGGCUCCCAAUUAUCCUGGAUGACAGGAUUGCACCUGAGAUACUCUCCCUGCUCAGUUUAGCCAAAGUUGUUUGUGAACACUCCCAGACCCCACGGUGCCACUUCCUGACUCGCUUUCCUUAUUUUCCUCUUCUUACCCACCUUGGCCUGUCUUUGUGUCGAUCUCUUCCGCUGCUGGUCUCAGGCUGGGAAUGUCCUUGGAAACUUGCCAGCACGUAGACAGGGUUUGGCAGGAACCGCACACCACCAGCCUCACUGUACCUGGGCUCCUCCAGGAGAGGUGUACAGGAUCCAUGGGAUCACUUGGUCUUCCUAGGAUGGCUUUGUUAAAAGUGAAGCCAGCUGUGUUUUAUAGCACCUGGCUUGAAAACAAAAGUGCCUUUCGCUGCUUUAGGGUGUGUAGUGGGAAGCUCGUUUCCUUCUUUCCUGGGCACUCUUCUCCAGUCCUGCCAUGUCCACACCCCACAUGUCCCCUGCCCAUCCCCUUGUCUCCUGUGCCCAUUGUAUGCAGUGGGACACUCUGCAUGCUGGGCAGCCAUGAAGCCAGAGUCUAUAGGAGGUGUCCUGGCAGAGUUACAUAAAGCACUUUAAGUCAAGCCGGAGUGGUAGGUAAGUCCUCUGCACAGGAGCCUUGCCUUGGGUGAGUGAUUCACUGGGAUCAUUCAGGACAAAGGAGAAGUUUCCAGGACCCAGAGUGAUGAGGUGACAAAUACUAUUGGGUCUACCCCGGAGCUUAUCAUCUAUCCUCUAGCCUGCUUGAAGACUGUAGGAGGCUUGCUGGCUGAGGGAAGGGCAUGAGCUCAGGGUCCAAGCCACUGUUCUGCAUCCAAGCAAGCAGGUGGCACUGGCUUGUGAGGAGCUGAAGAGUGGUCUGUGCCCAUAACAGGACUCCCCUGCCACUGAGAAGAAAGCAUUGUCAAUUUACCUUCAGGUAUUUACUCUGUAAAAAAUAUGUGUAGAUGUUUUGUACAGAGCCCUGUAUGAAAAUAAACACCCUUAUGUGAUUCCUAA
RNA transcript from Mus musculus (house mouse), 3388 nucleotides. It is a transcript of the gene named TBC1 domain family, member 20, with no coding region annotated. NCBI's taxonomy places the organism in Eukaryota, Metazoa, Chordata, Mammalia, Rodentia, Muridae. The transcript is spliced from 8 exons. The record is from RefSeq and is marked validated.